Molecule: long non-coding RNA, 5149 nt
Filed under: Homo sapiens (human)
Lineage: Eukaryota; Metazoa; Chordata; Mammalia; Primates; Hominidae
Description: non-protein coding lnc-AGO2-2:4
Source: RNAcentral
UGGGAUUAUAGGCACGCGCCACCCAGCUAAUUUUUUGUAUUUUUAGUAGAGACGGGUUUUCACCAUGUUGGCCAGGAUGGUCUCGAUCUCCUGACCUCGUGAUCCGCCCGCCUCGGCCUACCAGAGUGCUGCGAUUACAGGCGUAAGCCACCGCGCCUGGCCACCAACUUAACUUCUGCCAGGAUCAUGGGAAGUGGUAGGGUUUGGGGUCUGAUUUCAAGAGGGAGCUGCUGUGGAGUAUCAGCACAGCUUACUGAGAUAUCAGAAAGGCCUUGGUAAAGAGCCCUUUACUGAGACAGGGAGCACAUUUUGGCAGAGGUUUGAAUUGGAGCGUGUUAAGUGUAGUGUCUUCUUCACCACUGUGACGUGAGGUCCUGGCGCAAAUAAUUGAGCACAGAAAUACAUGUCAGGCAUUGCUAGGCACAAGGGUACAGCCAGUGAGCAGGGCUGCCAUGGUCCCUGCCCUCUUAGAGCUGACCUUCAGGUCUGAGGGAGACUGAAAAAUAAGUAAGAAUACCUCCAGCCGGGCGCUUUGGCUCACGCCUGUAAUCCCAGCACUUUGGGAGGCCAAGGUGGGUGGAUCACCUGAGGUCAAGAGUUCGAGACCAGCCCAACCAAUAUAGUCAAACCCCAUCUCUACUGAAAUUAUUAAAAUUAGCUGGGCGUGGUGGUGGGCACCUGUAAUGCCAGCUACUCGGGAGGCUGAGGCAGGAGAAUCGCUGGAACCCAGGAGGCAGAGGUUACAGUGAUCCGGGAUCGCGCCACUGCACUCCAGCAGCCUGGGCGACAGAGGGAGACUCCAUCUCAAAAAAAAAAAAAAAAAAAAAAUACACCUCCAAUGCUGAAAGCUACGAAGGAAACAAAACCAUGUGCGAGUGAUAGGGCAGCCCCUCUGGGAAGUGACAUUUGUGCCCAGAUCUGAAGAAAGAAAAGGAGCCACUCAUACAGAAAGACUGAGACAAGAUGAGCUUUCGGGACAAGUCAGGCUCUAGGGAGAACACCUGACGAGGAAAAUGCCUGGGCAGUUUGAGGAACUGAAAAGCCAGUGUGUCUGGAGCUUAGUGAGGGAGGCAGAGAGCACGGGAGGUGUGGUUACCAAGGUAGGUGGGACCGGCUCUGGCCCUGGGUAAAAAGUUUGACUUUCAUUCCAAGAGUAAUGGAAAAUAAUGAAGAAUUUUGAACUCGAGGUGGUGCAUGCCUGUAAUCCCAGCACUUUGGGAGGCUGAAGCAGGCAGAUCGCUUGAGCCCAGGAGUUUGAGAUUAGCCCGGGCAGCAUAACAGGGCAGCAUCUCUACAAAAAUUUUAUUUUUGGCCGGGCGCGGUGGCUCACACCUGUAAUCCCAGCACUUUGGGAGGCCGAGGGGGGGCAGAUCUCCUGAGGUCAGGAGUUCGAGACCAGCCUGACCAACAUGGCGAAACCCCGUCUCUACUAAAAAUACAAAAAAUUAGCCGGGCAUGGUGGCACGCGCCUGUAAUCCCAGCUACUUAGGAGGCUGAGGCAGGAGAAUCGCUUGAACCCGGGAGGCGGAGGUUGCAGUGAGCCAAGAUCACGCCACUUGCACUCCAGCCUGGGCAACAAGAGAGAAACUCCAUCUCAAAAACAAACAAAUCCAGACCAGCCUGGCUAACAUGGCAAAACCCCCUCUCUACUAAAAAUAGAAAAAUUGGCUGGGCAUGGUGGUAAGCACCUGUAAUCUCAGCUGCAUUGGCGGCUGAGGCAGGAGAAUCACUUGAACUCAGAAGGUGGAGGUUGCAGUGAGCACAGAUCACACCACUGCACUCCAGCCUGGGCAACAGAGCAAGACUCUCAAAAAAAAAAAGUUUUGAAGGGAGCAGAUCCACUUUAAAAGCUCACACUGGUUCUUGAGUGAUGACCAAAUGGCACUGUGCCUUAUGCAGAGCCGACUCCUGGCAGUUUGCACAGGCUGGAGGUGGAGCUGCAGACUCCCUCUCCCUCUCGGCCUUGCCUCUGUAAAUGGGAAAGCCGUUGACAUUCACAAAAGAGGGGCAGGGAACUGCUACACAAGAGCAGCUACACAAGAGGGUCCUUUGGUCCACACAGGAAACAAGCCAUAGUGAUGACAUAUUUUGAAGCUGUUAGAUGUUUUGUUUCCCUAGCUGGCUAUUAUUUUUGUAUGGCUUGUCUUUCUCUUUUGAGUAUGUGUGAGAACAGGAUGGGUUAACAUUAGGGAAGAGCACAGAAGAGGAAGGAAGGAAAGAAGGAAGGGAGGGAGGGAAAGGAGAGAGAAUAGGGAUGAGAAGCUCAGCUUGUAGAAUUGGCAGGUGAUGUUUGCAGUCAUUAAUCAUUUGAGAAGUAGAGAGAGAAGCCAAGCAGGAAAUCUUCAUACUGGAAAAGAAGUGCUCACCAUUAAAAAAAAAAAAAAAAAAAAUCCAGUGUGGUUCACAGCUGUAAUCCCAUCACUUGGAGGCUGAGGCAGGAGAAAUACGUGAAGCCAGGAGUUUGAGACCAGCCUGGGCAAUAUAACAAGACCCACAUCUCUACAAAGAGAAAAAAAAUGUAAAAAAAAGAAGCUUUAAACCUAAGACGGCAGAAUUCAAGACUGUUGUCCUUGAGAACUUCCUGGCUCUGGAAAAAGCUCAGUGAGUUAGUCUCAUCCUGUCGUUAGCUCUGUUUUUUAGGGGCUCACUUUGUCUUCACGACAGUACCUUGCACCAUUCUCAUGGGUAUCCCAGGGUGGUGCAAGGCAGUUUUCUGCACUUCCCAGAAUGCCCUGUCAGCUGGCUUCUGGGUAGGUUCUGCAAAUUGGAGGCCCCUGUGAAAGAUCGCUGUGGGGUGGGAGGAAGAAGCUUUAUCUGCCUGCUGGCUGCAGGGUAGAGGACUGCAGUGGGGUUAUAGGGAUCACCACCUGCACAUGUGGAGCUUUGAGCGGCUUCACUCUAAGUUUCUGCUCAACAGUGGCAGCCCUGGAGUCCUUCGGGGGCGAGUGUGGGCUCCUGGGCUCCAGGCCAGGGGCAGUCCCAGCUUCCUGAUCUCGAGGUAGCGUCUCCUCCCUUUUGCUCCAUAGCACCUCGCCCUUCUCAGUGACGUGCCUCCUUCUCAGUCAUGCGCCUCCAGCUCUAACAAUGUCCUUGAAAACAAUUCUUGACCAUGCGCCGUGGCUCACGCCUGUAAUCCCAACACUUUGGGAGUCUGAGGCAGGCGGAUCACUUGAGGUCAGGAGUUUGAGACCAGCCUGGCCAACAUGUAAUCCCAGCUACUCCCUCCACUUGAUUUGUGUUCCUUGAAGAAAUUUGCAUAAUCCCUGUAUCUGGUUGGCAGAUAGCAGAGAUGUAGCCUCAGUCUUUCCUUUAAAAAUUUUGCUUUAGGCAGGGCGCGGUGGCUCACACCUAUAAUCCCAGCACGUUGGGAGGCCAAGGUGGGCAGAUCAUGAGAGCAGGAAUUUGAGAUCGGCCUAGCCAAUAUGGUGAAACCCCGUCUCUACUAAAAAUAUAAAAAUUAGCUGGGCGUGGUGGCACAAGCCUGUAAUCCCAGCUAUUUGGGAGGCUGAGGCAGGAGAAUCGCUUGAAUCCAGGAGGCAGAGGUUGAGAUGAGCCGAGAUCACGCUAUUGCACUCCAGCCUGGGCAACAGAGGGAUACUCCAUCUCAAAAAAAAUUUUUUGCUUUAGGGCCAAUCGUGGUGACACACGCUUGUAAUUCUGGCACUUUGAGAGGCCGAGGCAGGUGGAUAAUUUGAGGUCAGGGGUUCGAGAGCAGACUGGCCAUGAUGGUGAAAUCCCAUCUCUACUAAAAAUACAAAAAAAGCCAGGUAUGGUGGCAUACGCCUGUAAUCCCAGCUACUCGGGAGGCUGAAGCAGGAGAAUCACUUGAACCCGGGAGGUUUAGGUGGCAUUGAGCCGAGAUUGCACCACUGCACUCCAGCCUGGGUGACAGAGCGAGACUCCAUCUCAAAAAAAAAAAAAAGGGCCGGACGCGGUGGCUCACGCCUUUAAUCCCAGCACUUUGGAAGGCCGAGGCGGGUGGAUCACCUGAGGUCAGGAGUUCAAGACCAGCCUGGUCAACAUGGUGAAACCCCGUCUCUACUAAAAACAUUAAAAAAUUAGCCGGGCAUGGUAGUGGGCGCCUGUAAUACCAGCUACUGAGGAGGCUGAGGCAGGAGAAUUGCUUGAACCCAGGAGACAGAGGUUGCAGUGACCUGAGAUUGUGCCACUACACUCCAGCCUGGGCAACAAAGCAAGACUCUGUCUUAAACAAACAAAAAGCCCAGUGUGGUGGUGUAUAUUUGUGGUCCUAGCUACUUUGAAGGCUGAGGUGGGAGGAUUGCUUGAGUACAACAUGUAGAGGCUGCAGUGAGCUGUGAUUGUGCCACUGCACCCCAGUGUGGGUGACAGAGCAAGACCCUGUCUCAAAAUAAUAAAAUUAACAUUCAUUAACAAUAAUGUUAAUAUAUAUGUUAAUGUAUAUGUUAAUCGUAAUGUUUAUAUUUUACCAUGAUAAAAACAUUUUAAAAUCAUAUAUCAACUCUUGCCGUUCUCCUGUUGAAAACUCUCCAAUGACUUCCCACUCCAUCAUCCUGUGGGAUGGGUCCACCAUGCUGGACCACAAGGCUCUGCACAAUGCGGCUCCCACCAGCCUCUCCCCUUGGCCCAGAUUGCUUCCUCCUACCCCUUUCUCUAGCUGCCAGGCCCCCCAACCCCCGCAUGGAGCCCUUCAGCAGCUCUGUGAGCUCCCUGCCUGUUGGCAGCCAUCACAGCAACGGGCUCUGGUGUGCCCCUUGUUAUCCCUGUAUUCAGGCCAUUAUCUGUAAUGACAGCCUGGCAUAAUUUUAUUUUCACAAUUUGUAUAAUUAUAUUCUAUUGAGCUAAAUGAUCAUUAUAAUCAUUAUUAAAUAUUUAUUAAGCACUUCUAGCUGUGCAAACAUAAUAAGAUGUGGCCUCAGCUCUUAAAAUCUUUCUUCCUAAUUCCAACCCAAAUUCAUUUCAACUUAACCAAUCUUCCUUCUUGGAGAAGGAGGGAACUUCGGCGUUUUGUCUGGGUUUCCAUGCCCGAGCUUAUAGGAGCUUCUUAGCAAUGCUGUGGAGCAGAUGCUAUUGACUUCAGUUUACAGAUAAGGAAACAAUCAGACUGAGGAAGCUAGUAUUAAUAAGUAGCAGAGAUUAAGAUUUGCCUGUGGUUCUUUUUUACACAAAG